ACGUCUUUAGUUCAGAUGGUAGAACGUAGGUUUCCAAAACCUAAUGUCGAGGGUUCGAGUCCUUCAAGGCGUG
RNAcentral lists this transfer RNA (73 nucleotides) under Compsothamnion thuioides. RNAcentral describes it as "tRNA-Trp". It matches the Rfam family "tRNA". Rfam says of the family: Transfer RNA (tRNA) molecules are approximately 80 nucleotides in length. Their secondary structure includes four short double-helical elements and three loops (D, anti-codon, and T loops). Lineage: Eukaryota; Rhodophyta; Florideophyceae; Ceramiales; Ceramiaceae. The record is from RNAcentral.